UUGAUGUCAGCAGAAUUUAAACUCCCACCUUAAAGCUUGGCCUCCCAUUCUCUGGUUGAACUUGUAUGAAGGAGAGACUGGAGAUGACAGUAUCAAGGAAAAUGGCUAAAGCAACUAUACAGAGAGUGAGAAGAACUGAGACCUCGUCCUGCCUCUCUGGAUCCGUUUACCACUCGUUGAUAAACGCGCCAACCCCUGCUCUUCCCAGGUGUACCUGCAACCCUCACUCACAGCACGCAGUGUAUUUUAGUCCUUCCAAUACUGUCUUAAAAUGAACAUUCUUUCAGGUUGGAUGGAAAGGUGGUCUUCCUUCUUUCUUAACACUUUAAAUAUAUUGCAAUUCAUCUGGGCCUUUUGGUAAGAUAACUAACUUCACACCUUGGGGAAAAAUUUUCAAAGGUAGGACCAUUUAUAAUGUCUGUUAGGGCAAUUAUAAGGGAUCUGGAAGAAACCCAAUCUUCAUAUUACAUUGUUAGUUGGGAGAGGGAGAAAAUUCUGCCUCAAUGAUAGUUUUUCUUAUCAUUGUUCCUGUUUGGGAGUCUUAGUAGCUAUGAAUUCAGCGGGGGAAGGUACUUCCCUUCUUUUUACUGUACAUUCCAGUUGUGCACAGAAAACAUUGCAGAAACCAGUAUGUAUUUUUUGUGACAUACAUUUUUAGAAUAAUUAUGGAAAUGGUAGAAUUUAUCAUUCCAGAACAGGAAGACUGACCUUCAGUUUCAAAUGAAGUUAACUAAUUUAUUUUAUUUACAUUUCUGGGUAAAAACUGGCUCUACAAAUUAAGAAGCAUAGUAGCUUCUUUAUGGUAAAGAUACCUUUCUGAAAAGUAAACCAUUCUAUUGAAGUAACUUUACUAAUAUGUAGAUUUUGCACUUUAUUCCUGAGACCUCAUUCAUGUAGUUAGCCCUGAACAUUUAGGCACUAAGAGAACCUGAGAGUUCUUAGGUAGUUGUGUGGAGAAUGAAAAUGGACUCUGUUUCUUUGGUAACAAAGGUGAUGCUGGUGUUUUCAACAGAAAAUACAGACUGUGGGUCACAAUGCAGAGAUUCGGAGUCCCACAGUCCUCCACUGUGAUGGUUACAAAUGCCCUAGUGUCCAGCCUCAAAAGAUUUGCUAGGUAAAGAGUAUCAGGCUUUCCCAAAGGUCCAGUUUAGUUUUUUGGCCCUGUUGGCUUCCUUUUUUAUUUGAACCAUCAAUGUACCUCCUCCCCUCAGGAAUAACUUGUCGACUAAGAUGGAAAGCUAUCAUUGAAUGGAAUGUUCAUUUUAUGCCAGCUAUUUCAAGUUUUAAAAUACACAGAAGAGAAAAAAUAUUGUGCAAGGACUUCUGUUUCUUUCCCAUCUAAG
This 1343-nucleotide long non-coding RNA is filed under the name Bos taurus (domestic cattle). Its description in RNAcentral is "long non-coding RNA NONBTAT017572". Lineage: Eukaryota; Metazoa; Chordata; Mammalia; Artiodactyla; Bovidae. The record is from RNAcentral.